This is a long non-coding RNA of Capsicum annuum, 169 nucleotides long. RefSeq lists it as uncharacterized. The record is from RefSeq and is a predicted model, not a curated record. NCBI's taxonomy places the organism in Eukaryota, Viridiplantae, Streptophyta, Magnoliopsida, Solanales, Solanaceae. The transcript is spliced from 2 exons.
AAGGGUGCUGUCACGAGUUGGGACAAGAUGCUAGGCAAUCUCAGGAAUUAGAUUUUGUUGGAAUUUAGGGACAUUGCAGAAACACUGUCAACUGAAGUGGCAGAAGACUCUAGCCAUGUGGCAAAGCUGCGAACAGCUUUAGAAGCUGUUGAUGCAAAAAAAAGAAAGG